Molecule: ribosomal RNA, 1324 nt
Filed under: uncultured bacterium
Lineage: Bacteria
Description: partial 16S ribosomal RNA
Rfam family: Bacterial small subunit ribosomal RNA
Source: RNAcentral
UAAGUUUGAUGGCGACCGGCGCACGGGUGAGUAACACGUAUCCAACCUGCCGAUGACUCGGGGAUAGCCUUUCGNNNGNNNGAUUNNUNCCCGAUGGCAUAGUUCUUCCGCAUGGUNGNNCUNUUNNNGNNUUUCGGUCNUCGNUGGGGAUGCGUUCCCUUNGGUUGUUGGCGGGGUNNCGGCCCNCCNNGCCUUCGNUGGNUNGGGGUUCUGNGNGGNNGGUCCCCCNCCUUGGNNCUGNGNCNCGGUCCNNNCUCCUNCGGGNGGCNGCCGUGNGGNNUNUUGGUCAAAGGACGGGAGUUUGAACCCACCCAAGUAGCGGGAAGGAGGACUUCCCUAUGGGUUGUAAACUUUUUUUUUUCCGGGAAUAAGUGGAGGCCCGCGUGCCUUUUUGUAUGUUCCGUUAUGAUAAAGAUCCGGCUAACUCCGGGCCCAGCAGCCGCGGUAAUCCGGAGGAUUCCGAGCGUAUCCCGGAUUUAUGGGUUUAAGGGGAGCGUAGGCCGACGCUUAAGUCAGUUGGGANGGUUUGCGGCUCACCGGUAAAAUGCCAGUUGAUACUGGGUGUUCUGGAGUACAGUAGAGGCAGGCGGAAAUUCGUGGUGUAGCGGUGAAAUGCUUAGAUAUCACGAAGAACUCCGAUUGCGAAGGCAGCUUGCUGGACUGUAACUGACGCUGAUGCUCGAAAGUGUGGGUAUCAAACAGGAUUAGAUACCCUGGUAGUCCACACAGUAAACGAUGAAUACUCGCUGUUUGCGAUAUACAGUAAGCGGCCAAGCGAAAGCGUUAAGUAUUCCACCUGGGGAGUACGCCGGCAACGGUGAAACUCAAAGGAAUUGACGGGGGCCCGCACAAGCGGAGGAACAUGUGGUUUAAUUCGAAGCAACGCGAAGAACCUUACCAAGCCUUGACAUCCCAUUGACAGAGCAUGUAAUGUGCUUUCCUUUCGGGGCAGUGGUGACAGGUGGUGCAUGGUUGUCGUCAGCUCGUGUCGUGAGAUGUUGGGUUAAGUCCCGCAACGAGCGCAACCCCUAUCUUCGGUAGCCAGCGGUUCGGCCGGGCACUCUGGAGAGACUGCCAGGGAUAACCUGGAGGAAGGUGGGGAUGACGUCAAAUCAUCAUGCCCCUUAUGACCAGGGCUACACACGUGCUACAAUGGCGUAAACAAAGAGAAGCAAACUCGCGAGGGUAAGCAAAUCUCAAAAAUAACGUCUCAGUUCGGAUUGUAGUCUGCAACUCGACUACAUGAAGCUGGAAUCGCUAGUAAUCGCAGAUCAGAAUGCUGCGGUGAAUACGUUCCCGGGUCUUGCACUCACCGCCCGUCAAG